AUUUCCAUCGAUGUAAAUCCAAUAUCAUCUAACUGUAAUUCUUUCAACACAGUCUCUGGAUCCAGCGAGUACUAUUCUCUUGAUGAGUUCAUCUACCGCAGAAUCUCCAUGGUACAUAAAGGAGAAAUCUAUUUGAUUCACAAAUGCACAUGGCUGUAAGGAUGGACCUUAUCAUUAAGAAAGGGGUUCUUCCCAAGAUUGAUAACGACGACCUUAAUCUCACAUUUAAUUACAAUUAUUUGUAAUCACUAUACAACAACUAGAUUUCUAUUAAGUGAUAAAUAUUUGAUUAGAUGUUACAUAUUAAGUCUUGUAAGCAUAUACAUGUUUAGUUAGCUGUUAAAACUUUAUGUAAAAUUUAUUUGUUACAAAUUAGUUGCUGUUAUAUGAUAU
This 393-nucleotide long non-coding RNA is filed under the name Brassica rapa (field mustard). Its description in RNAcentral is "long non-coding RNA (BRAP_LNC006544)". Lineage: Eukaryota; Viridiplantae; Streptophyta; Magnoliopsida; Brassicales; Brassicaceae. The record is from RNAcentral.